Molecule: long non-coding RNA, 1183 nt
Organism: Nicotiana tabacum (common tobacco)
Lineage: Eukaryota; Viridiplantae; Streptophyta; Magnoliopsida; Solanales; Solanaceae
Source: RefSeq, a predicted model, not a curated record
CACCUCUGUCCAAGCAAAUGCAUUUGCAGUUAUAAAAUAUAAGAGCACUGAAAUGUCUGGUUCCAAUCAUUAUAUGGAAUGUUUCCCCAAUCGCACAGCACGGCUUAACAUCCCUUAUGAAAACAGAAUAAUGGAAGAACAAUAAAGGGAAGAGCAAGUGCCUCUUUUUUUGCAACAUUCAAUUGCUCCAUCGAAUUCUUCACUACAUGCCCCUGUGUACCUGCAAAUAAAUCAUGAAUCACCCCAAUGCAGCCUUCAAUCGCUGGGUUGAAACGCUUGUGCACCUGGAAGAUUUGUGAGGUAAAUUUGCUGCCCUUCCUUCGUGAGUGCAUAAAACGUGGAAUUUUGAAUGUAAGUAUAACUAUUGAAUUCUCUAUCCAUUAAUCGUUGAAACGAAGCCAAAGCGUCUUCGUGACACCAUCUCAGCACUCAAAGCCUCAAAGCAGUGGGAACCCCAACUGUUGUCAAGUGAUCACAUUAAUCACUGUUGCAGCUGGUAUUGGACUUUAGGUUACCAUCUCUAAUUUUUAGAUUUACUUUCAUUUGGUAGUUGAAUUAUUCUUUUUUGUUUCAAGUCGUAAUUUUGAGUUAUGCUAGAGAGUUGUUUGAUGAAAUGCCACAACUAGAUUGGUCUGUCUUAGAAUGCUGUGAAGUUUGAAUUCCAUGAAUGUUCCUGGAGUUUGAAGUGACAAAGGUUUGAAUUCUAUGAAUCAUUCAUGGAAUUUGAAACUCCAUUAAAUUCUCACACUUGUACUGUGAAAGUUUGAACUCCAUAAAUCAUUCUGAAAGUUUGAGCUUCAUGAAUCGUUCAUGGAGUUUGAAACUCUAGCAAAUUUUCACACUUAGAUUGUCAAAGUUUAAACUCUAUAAAUCGUUCCUGAAGUUUGAACUCAUAAAGGUUUUGAGCUUCCUGAAUUGUUCUUGGAGUUUUCUGUGUUUUAGCUCGUGGGAUUUUGUCCAAAUUUUAUUUUCACAUUAAAAAGUGGCUACUUUCUAAUUACAUUUGAAACAGUGACUAAACGCUUGAAAACUGGCCAUCCCACCUAAUUUACUUUGCGGAAGGACGAUGAUAGCAGAAGGGUCAAACGCAAAAUGGUGUCCGCACUUGCACGAAGAUAGCCUAGUCCAUUUAUUUUGGAAAUGGCGAUGUGGCUUCCGAUAUCGCGAAAUACCCCGGUGUAUA